Long non-coding RNA from Lineus longissimus, 604 nucleotides. RefSeq lists it as uncharacterized. NCBI's taxonomy places the organism in Eukaryota, Metazoa, Nemertea, Pilidiophora, Heteronemertea, Lineidae. The transcript has 5 exons. The record is from RefSeq and is a predicted model, not a curated record.
AGGCUACAGGCUUCAUCAUGUCUGUGCCCUCCGUGCCACCCCUGGGGUUUUUAAUGCCACUCGUGCCCACACUCAAGUGUUUUGAAGAAUGUAAAAUCCAGUGUGUGAUAAACAUGUGUAAAGAAACCUUUCGUAAGAAGCCAGAAGAGCUUUACAACAAUCUUGGACUGGGAGAUGGAGGCCAUCAUAAACUUCUUGUAGGAUGAGUUGCCGCAGACAGAGAUGAAAACCAUGAUGAAUGUCCGUGAGCCAGAGGCUAUGAUUUGUUUAGUACAACAAUGCGAGGGACUUAACAAAAUUGAGGCGGAAAUAUUCUUGAGGCAGUGUCGGUGCAUGGAAGAAACGGAAACAUUGGAUUAAGGAUUUAUUUCAUAGUGAAUUACACAGUCACAAAUGGAUUACACACGUUCUGGAUUAGACUAGUUUCUGCUGCAACUGACAUUUUUGCAGGUGCCCACUCGUAGGCGAUUCCUUGAUGUCUUCCUUGGAUUUUACAUGAUAUUAUGUCAUUUUCGCCAACAUCGGGUUUUGGCGCCAAGACGUUUGUUCCUAGAACAGUUGAUUUAAAUGCCGAAUGUGGUCAGUUUGAAUUUAUAUCGCAGGU